CUGGCUGUGGCAAAUGUGACUGCCAUGGAGUGAAGGGACAAAAGCUAAUAAAAGACAAAUAACAGGAUUCAGGCACUAACCAGAGUACGACUCAGUUUCUACUCCUUCAGAUAAGCAGACCCUAAUCUGAGGGAGUCGGGCCAGCUGAAGACACGGCUCAGAAUAUCCGAAGUCUUGAGCAAGUUCCUUUCCUCUUACUGACUCUGUGGCGGACCCACUGCGCCCCAGGCCACCUGCCAAGGACAGCAAGCCUUCUGAAGCCUUUCUCUAACGGGUCGGGACGGGGAGGACUGCUGGAGGACCACAAAGAAAUGAGCCUACUCCUCUGGGGCCCUGGGCAGACCUCCCAGUUCCUGUUCUACAGGAGUCAACGUGGGCCUCCAGCCCGGUUCAACAACUAACCCACAGCGAGCCCCUGUGUGUGACAAGGGGCAGGUCAGCCAGUCAGCAGCCACUCCUGCCCCAUUGUCCCCUCCUGAGACAGGUUAGGGGUGCCCAGCCCAUCAAAAUAUGCAUCCCACCCCAUUCUGGAUUGCUUUUCCCUGUGCAUUAGGAAUAAAACCUCUCUAAGGGGAAGGCAUUUUGAAGUAAGCCUGUUUCAGGCCUGUGAGAGGUCUGCAGAAACACCCCCAGCGUGAGCACUGGGUCACCCCACAGCCCCUGCCUUUCGGAAAUCCUGGUGUAGAGUCCGCUCCACAAGGAGCUCCUUCCUCUGUUUGAAGGCUGGUCGUCUUCACUGUGUCUCCGCGAUUACCCAGGACGUGGGCAUGGCCAUGCUUCUCACACGUCCUCUCUUUGACUCAGGAUCAUCGACUUGUGCCUCUGCCUCCUCCACAUCUGGAAGAGGCAUCUUCUUUUCCCUUUUCACAGGCUACUUAGAGCUGGAGAGGGAUUGUGUCUGUCAAUCCUUAGAUACAUGAUUAAUUAAUCAACGCAUGUUUUUCAGUUGUUACUUUGCUGGGCACUUUGAGAGAUGCAAAAUGAGCACUCUUAGUAUAUUUCUCUCAAGGACAUACAAAAUAAGAAGAAAAAUAUUAUCUGUAAGGAAUACCAUAAAUCUAAUACCUAAAUACAAGAAGAGAAGAGGACAGAUUUUCCAGUCUGUUGAAUUAGAUGUGCCAUUUUACAUUGAUUGUUUUUUAUUAGCUCCCAUUGCCAGAGACAUUGCAAUGUCUACGUGAUAAGGAGUUUAGGCUUGAGCUUGCAUGCUGGUUUUAAACACAUCAUCUACAACAUUCUAGUCGUUUUUGUGCUAUAUUGUAACAAUUGUCAAAGUGCCUUAGAAUCUAACAUUACCUUUAAGGUAUGGGACUCACUUUUUCCUAAGAUCAUAAAUUUAGGGUAUUUUCAUAGUUGUAAUUAAAUCUUAGAUGAAAUUCCUUUUUGAGACAGGGACUGUACUUUAUUUGUAUUUUUGGAGAAUUCAAUAAUCUUCAAUUUAUAAAUAUAUUUAUUUCCAUGAUCUUUCCUCUAAUUUACACAUGGGUAACAAUAGACAUAGUUUUAGCCAUGUUUUCAUUAUGAAAUUAAAAUAUACAAGGACAGAGUGCUUUAAAUAUUCCACCAUAUAGAUAGAUGGACUGGCUCUUCUCCUGUUAUUCCUUGUUAUUCCUAGUAUCUGUGUAGAAUAUAUUUGCAUCUCCAGUAAUUAUUAAAGAAUAAUAAUU
RNAcentral lists this long non-coding RNA (1667 nucleotides) under Homo sapiens (human). RNAcentral describes it as "HSALNT0206886". The record is from RNAcentral. Lineage: Eukaryota; Metazoa; Chordata; Mammalia; Primates; Hominidae.